AACACAUGCAAGUCGAACGCGAAAGGGACUUCGGUCCUGAGUAAAGUGGCGCACGGGUGAGUAACGCGUAGAUAACCUGUCUUCAUGUCUGGAAUAAUACGCCGAAAGGGGUACUAAUACCGGAUAUUCUUGCUUUUCAUAAGUUAUGCAAGCAAAGGUGGCCUCUGCAUAUGCUACUGCAUGAAGAGGGGUCUGCGUACCAUUAGCUAGUAGGUGGGGUAAUGGCCUACCUAGGCGACGAUGGUUAGCGGGUCUGAGAGGAUGAUCCGCCACACUGGCACUGGAACACGGGCCAGACUCCUACGGGAGGCAGCAGUGAGGAAUAUUGCGCAAUGGGGGAAACCCUGACGCAGCGACGCCGCGUGAGUGAAGGAAGGCCUUCGGGUCGUAAAGCUCUGCCAAGAGGAAAGAAGUGUACAAUGGCUAAUACCUGUUGUAUUUGACGGUACCUCUAAAGGAAGCACCGGCUAACUCCGUGCCAGCCGCUGC
RNAcentral lists this ribosomal RNA (489 nucleotides) under uncultured bacterium. RNAcentral's name for it is "bacterial SSU rRNA". It matches the Rfam family "Bacterial small subunit ribosomal RNA", at positions 50 to 518 of the family's 1533-position model. The record is from RNAcentral.